Molecule: ribosomal RNA, 316 nt
Filed under: Mimetus sp. GH1261
Lineage: Eukaryota; Metazoa; Arthropoda; Arachnida; Araneae; Mimetidae
Description: partial 12S ribosomal RNA
Source: RNAcentral
AAAAAACAACCUAGGUAGUAAAUUUAUUAAAACCUUUAUAAAAUGGCGGCAUUUCAUCUUAUUAGAGGAACAUGUUUCUUAAUCGACAACACACGAUCAAUUUCACUAAUUUUAAGAUUUUAUAUACCUCCGUCCUAAAAUUAUUUACAUUUUUCAAAAAAAUUCUAAAAGGUUAGGUAAAGGCGUAAACCAUAAAUUAGACGAAAUGUGUUACAUUAAAAAAAAAUUAAGGAUUGUAAUACAAAUAUAUAUUUGAAAAAGAAUUUAAAAGUAGCAUUUAUUUACAACAAAAAUUCGAAUAAGAAAAUAAAUGUGC